This is a long non-coding RNA of Mus musculus (house mouse), 1404 nucleotides long. RefSeq annotates it as predicted gene, 34960. The transcript is spliced from 3 exons. The record is from RefSeq and is a predicted model, not a curated record. Lineage: Eukaryota; Metazoa; Chordata; Mammalia; Rodentia; Muridae.
CUGUCUGUAACACUUUGGAGAGCUGGUAUCCCCUCUCACCAGCUGUUGCACUUGGGAAACCAGGCUCUGUGUCUCAUCCCAGCAGCACAGUAGAGCUGGCCCUAGUAGCAGGGGCAUGGGUGAGCCAGCCCUAAGGGAGAGAAUGUAAGAGAGCUGACUCCUUACUCUGGAAGUCAGGAAAGCUGCCCACAGGGUCAUGAAUGUGGGAGAGCUGGCCCUGCUCCUCGCCAGGUACAGCACUCAGGAGAGAGGGUCCUGCACCGUGCCUGAGCAGCACAGAACUGAUUCCUGUUGGGGGUUGGGCACAGGUGAGCUGGUCCCAAGGGUGAGAGCAUGGGAGAGCUGUCUGUUCCACUAGUCUGUUGUGCAGUGGCAUGGGUGCAGAAACGAUGCCCCUCCCCCAUCCCUAACCACCUGCAGCAGUUGGGAAAGCUGACCCUGGAGUCAUGAGUGUCGGUGAGCUGGCCCAGCCUGACACCAGCUCCAGCACUUGGAAGACCAGUCCCUACACCUUGCCUGGGAGGUGACCCUGAUGGCGACAGCACAGUUUCCGCUUAUGUCCCUACACUGGCUACUUCCAGUUUCAACUUAUGCCCCCACACCGGCUUCUCUCGAUGAUUCGUGUGAGCUAAAGAAGUUUGGCCAAGAGAAACCCACCACAGGGAGUAUGUGCAUCGAGGGCCAUAUGGAACCAAGUGGAAGCCAUUAAAACACCCCAUCCUGUUUGGGCAAGCGCAAUCCCAACAAAUCCAUUGACACAUGGCAGUGAGUGUUCUGGCUGGGUGAUUGUUUCUGUAACUCCAUCUGCCUGGCACCACCAGGGCCCCCAAGUGCCUGGAAGGUUGGGACAGAACGACCUGGGGCAAGGAAUCCACACUCUUUCAAUAUUGGGUAACUCUAGAGUGGAUGAAAAUCCUUUCCAGCUGAGCACUCUGUUUUGCUGUCUCUAGGGUUGAAGUCCAUUACUCUCCCUCUGCAACUGUCCUGCUGGCUUGCUCGGCAACCGUCAGCCAUCUUAACCUCACAUCAAAAGUGUUUGUUGGGCCACAAAGGAAAAAGACAUAAAUAGCAACUGGCAUUGAAAAACCAGACAAAAUGUGUCUCAUUCAUUAGUCUUCUCACCAAUAAGUUUCAUCUCAUCUAUAUCUACAGGGAUACUGUAAUACAUAAACACAUACACACACAGGGCAGCAGGGACAUAAGGCAGCAGGUCUCAUUGUAUCCAUUCUCAGAAAGCAGAAGGUAGAACAAAGACCCAAACUAUCAAAUCUCAGGACUUGUCCCUAGAGACUCAUUUCCCCCAGCAGGACUCCACCUCCUAAAAUCUUCCACAACCUUCUAAAAGAGUUCCGCCAUCUGAGAACCGAGUAUUCAAGCACACACCACAGCAUGCUGGGUGGCUAG